Cucurbita pepo subsp. pepo (vegetable marrow) is the source of this 2096-nucleotide non-coding RNA. The record is from RefSeq and is a predicted model, not a curated record. NCBI's taxonomy places the organism in Eukaryota, Viridiplantae, Streptophyta, Magnoliopsida, Cucurbitales, Cucurbitaceae.
GUAUUUAUUUAUUUAUUUCCCUUUAAAACCCUAAAAUUCGGCGGUGUGUUUUUUGGUUUCCCAACUUGACAAGGGGACUGAUAAAUUCUUCCUUAAACCCUAAAAUCGUUAGUGUGAGAGGGCGAUGAAGACGAUCACCGGAAAUGUGGUUUCUUCGAAGCCAAUCUCCCUUUCCAAAGCGGCGUCCACUCUCUCCUCCUUUCUCUCCGUCGAUAAUGGCGCUUCGAAAGCGCUCUGUGCCUACCUGAGACGCGCCUCCACCUCCUUCAACGAGUUAAAGCAGCUUCAUAAGGACCUCAAGUCUUCGCGGUCCGAUCGGAAUCCCCGACAUCACGGAUUCGAGGUUUCAAGUGGUUUAGAGGCGGCUGUAGAUAGUUCACAUCGGAUUGAAAACGGUGAGAGAAUCAAAUCUUCUGUAUCUGAGAGCAGAAGCGGGAAGAAGCGGCGGGAGAGUAGGGAUCGGAAUGAGAACGAGCAGGAUGGGAAAACAGCAAUGGCAAGCGGUGGGAAUGGUGAUUUUGAGGAUGUAGUGGGUGAAGAUGGAAAGAGAAGGAGCGACGAAUUGAGGACUGAAAUUGAAGAAAAACCUAGCCGAAGAGUCGAGGUCGAUGUGAAAUCCAGCGAUAGAGAUGAGAGCGUUGUAGGAAUUGAGAAGAAAAAAAAGCACAAGAAAAAGAGCAAGGAUGGAGAAGAUGAACGUGAUGCUGAAGUCGGGCAAAGUUACGGUAAAUCGCAAACUAGUGCUAAUAAUGGCGAGACUGAAGCUUCUGAAGAUUUCAUUGAGAACAAUGUAGGAAGGGGAAAAGAUAGAAAGAAGCAUAAGGACAAGAAUAAUUUGGGGGAUGAAAAGAGGACAAAGAAGGACAAUGAUGAUGAAACAGGUCUUGUGGAGCUGUCGACUAAGGAUAAGAAGAAGAAGAAGAAGAAGAAGAAGAACAGAGAAGAAGAUGAUGACGAUCUUCAAAAUAACAGUGGUGGGGCUAUAGAGAAAGAGAAAAUGCCAGUUUCGGAUAGCCAAGAACUGAAAAGGAAAGAAAGUAAGAAGAGGAAAAAUGGAGACUUGGAAGAAGGGGUCGAUGAUGGUUCAGAGGAGCAGCAGGGUACAAAGAGAAGGAAAAGAAAGUCAUGAGACAAGCAAGGAUGAACUUGUAACUCAUUAUUUGUUAGGAGUUGAUGAAGUCCCUGUAUUGGAAGAUUCCAUGUGCUCACAGCUUAUUGGAAAAAGUCUGUUUACUAAUUGCUACCAAUGAGGAGCCCAUUGAUCUCCGAUGUUUAUUGCAAGAAGCAAGCAACAACUGCGUGGAAGGCAGCUGCUAUAUGCAAAGAAAACGUCGAAGCUACAUGAUUUGAUGCAUAUUUAUAGUAUUGCAUCAGGUAACUCUCAGCUGUUAUGAAAAUUGUUUUGAGUUAAUGAUAAAAGCUAAUGUAUUCCUAUUCGAUCAAGAGAUGGAUCAGCCUGCAUUGCCCAAAUGGUUUUGUGCUUGUAUCUCAUUAUGAAACCUGUUGUUCUUUGAGUCAUCUGUCGCCGACCAACAAGUAUACCAUGGAGUGUUUGCCCCUCCUUUAUCUAGUGGUGCCCAUCUGUAGCAAAGCUAACUAGACCUUUUACGGCCCAAGCCUUACCGCUAGUAGAUAUGUCUCUUUUGGGUUUCCCUUUCAGGCUUCCCUUCACGGUUUUAAAACGCGUUUAUUAGGGAGUUUUUGGGUUUCAAAAUAAUUCAAAAACUGAUAAACGGCGGUCCUUUUGUCAAUAGGAAUAGAACUGGAAGUUCACGUAGUCUAAUUGGUUGUGUUCAUAAUCCAUACUGGAUGUGUUCAUAAUCCAUACAGGAUAGGACUCCUACCUUCCCAAGAUUUAGGGGAUUUGGGGUUGAAGUAUGCAAGUUCUUUGCCUACUGUAUCACCCUCGAGACUGAUUGCGAACUUGAACGUUCGAAUCCUGGGCUUUGAUCGAAGAAACAGAAGUAUCGCUCAUAAAUUUCAAACUUUCUCGAAUGACUUCUCAUUAUUAGCAAUCGGCUGUGGUUUGCGAGGCCGAAGAACAAAUCGUCACUAGUGAUGUGUUGCAUCUUUUUUGGCUCUAAUUACAGCUUCUA